Molecule: long non-coding RNA, 1097 nt
Organism: Brachypodium distachyon (stiff brome)
Lineage: Eukaryota; Viridiplantae; Streptophyta; Magnoliopsida; Poales; Poaceae
Exons: 2
Source: RefSeq, a predicted model, not a curated record
UAUGCUUAGCGUUGGUAUACCUUGCUAGUAUCAUGAAGGAGCAAAGCAGCUAAAAUGAACCUCGACCGCAUGGAUAUAUUUGGGUUUGUUUUCUCCUCCGUUUUUUCUCAUUCUUGGCAAAGAUACAGGGGUUGUUUGGUUGGUGUCCUGAGCAUGUCGUGUCUGGUCGGAGGCCUCCCUGUGAUCUGCGUGAGACUUGUUUGGUUGGUGUCCUGAGAAAUCAAUUGCUAGCCUGGCCUGGACAACACGGGAGCAUCAUUAGCCUGGCUCAGGCGCUCAAAAUCGGAGGCCUGACUCUGCACACGCGCGUCUGAGAUGCUAAUCACUUCUAACAAGAGAGAAGAUUCAGUGGAGAGGAAAAGCGACAGCAUAGCGGCAAGGUUAGCUCGCCACCGCGUCGCCGGCGUCAGCUACAGCCGUCGCAGCCUUGAAGCCUACGUACAAGUUCAGCGGCCGCCGCGUAUGAAUCGUAGGACUGGAAGACGAGCUCGCUCUGUAGAUCGCCAGCGGACCUUGCUCCAACCGAUGGGCUUGCCGGUGGAGCAAGAUGAUCCAUGGAUCCUCGUCCCUAUUUUCUCCGGCCACAGGUUGCCGGGAGAUUAGAGAACAUGCGGAGGAGUUUGGCACCUUCCAGGCAAGCAGUAGCUUCAGCAGAUUCGGCGUUGGGGCAGUUCAUCAAGCUGUUCCAAGCUCAAGCGAUGACGACACCGUGGUGAUCUCUAAUGAUAGCGCCCCAAGAAGCCGAGUCGUCGGAGAUGGUGAAGCUCGCAUCCACAUUAACUUUAACCAUACCUUGGAUUGGGGGGCGCCAACCAGAGGAGGCAGCGGCAGGAGCUGGACUCUGCCGAGGAAGGGGAUUUAGUACGUUGUACGUAAUCUCUGUUCCAAAAUACAUCUCAUAUUGAUUUGUGCAUUUGUACCAAUGCAGCUCUCGUUUCUAGUGCUUGACCACUCAUAUUGGGUUAAUAAUAAAUGAAUGUGAAUAGUUAUUGGACGGGUGCGGAUACCAAAAAAAAAAGAGGUGUAUUGUGGAACAAAUGAGAAAAAUAUAUACACGUUGUAUUGUGGAAUGGAGCCCGAGAGUACUCUUGCUGGUC